GUGCUAAGGUAGCAUAAUAAUUUGUCUUUUAAUUGGGGGCUUGUAUGAAAGGCUGUAUAGUAAAAUAAUUUCUAGAUUUUAGGUAUCGAAUUUGGAGUUUAAGUAAGAAUACUUAAAUGUUUAUAAAAGACGAUAAGACCCUAAAAGCUUUAUUUUAUUAUGUUAAUUACUUAGUUUAUAUUUUUAAUGAUUAAGAUUGAUAUUUUUAACUGGGGUAGUUUCUUUGUGUUUAUAAAAUAGAGAUGGACUUAAACUAGGGUUUGUGAACCUUCAGAUAAGGGUACUAGAUUUAGUUACUUUAGGGAUAACAACAUGAUAGUUUUGGAGAGACCUUACUGAUAAAAAAGCUUGUGACCUCGAUGUUGAAUUA
Molecule: ribosomal RNA, 370 nt
Filed under: Grandidierella chaohuensis
Lineage: Eukaryota; Metazoa; Arthropoda; Malacostraca; Amphipoda; Corophiidae
Description: partial 16S ribosomal RNA
Source: RNAcentral